UACGAGGGGGGCAAGCGUUGUUCGGAAUCACUGGGCGUAAAGCGUACGCAGGCGGAUAUGUAAGCUAGGGGUGAAAUCCCGGGGCUCAACCUCGGAACUGCCUUUAGAACUGCAUAUCUAGAGAUCGGAAGAGGAUGGCGGAAUUCCUAGUGUAGAGGUGAAAUUCGUAGAUAUUAGGAGGAACACCAGUGGCGAAGGCGGCCAUCUGGUCCGAUACUGACGCUCAUGUACGAAAGCGUGGGGAGCAAACAGG
RNAcentral lists this ribosomal RNA (253 nucleotides) under uncultured bacterium. RNAcentral describes it as "partial 16S ribosomal RNA". It matches the Rfam family "Bacterial small subunit ribosomal RNA", at positions 524 to 776 of the family's 1533-position model. The record is from RNAcentral.